This 428-nucleotide ribosomal RNA is filed under the name uncultured bacterium. RNAcentral's name for it is "bacterial SSU rRNA". It matches the Rfam family "Bacterial small subunit ribosomal RNA", at positions 355 to 775 of the family's 1533-position model. The record is from RNAcentral.
UGGGGAAUUUUGGACAAUGGGCGCAAGCCUGAUCCAGCAAUGCCGCGUGAGUGAAGAAGGCCUUCGGGUUGUAAAGCUCUUUUGUCAGGGAAGAAACGGCCGAGGCUAAUACCUUUGGCUAAUGACGGUACCUGAAGAAUAAGCACCGGCUAACUACGUGCCAGCAGCCGCGGUAAUACGUAGGGUGCAAGCGUUAAUCGGAAUUACUGGGCGUAAAGCGUGCGCAGGCGGUUUUGUAAGUUUGUCGUGAAAUCCCCGGGCUCAACCUGGGAAUUGCGAUGAAGACUGCAAAGCUGGAGUCUGGCAGAGGGGGGUAGAAUUCCACGUGUAGCAGUGAAAUGCGUAGAGAUGUAGAGGAACACCGAUGGCGAAGGCAGCCCCCUGGGUCAAGACUGACGCUCAGGCACGAAAGCGUGGGGAGCAAACAG